CCCUUAGAUGUUCUGGGCUGCACGCGCGCUACACUGAUGCAUUCAACGAGCCUAUCCUUGACCGACAGGUCCGGGUAAUCUUUGAAUCUGCAUCGUGACGGGGAUAGAUUAUUGCAAUUAUUAAUCUUCAACGAGGAAUGCCUAGUAGGCGCAAGUCAUCAGCUUGCGUCGAUUACGUCCCUGCCCUUUGUACACACCGCCCGUCGCUCCUACUGAUUGGGUGUGCUGGUGAAAUGUUCGGAUCGGCCGUUUGUCGCGGUUUCCGCGUCAUGUGGCUGAGAAGUUCAUUAAACCCUCCCACCUAGAGGAAGGAGAAGUCGUAACA
This 325-nucleotide ribosomal RNA is filed under the name uncultured eukaryote. RNAcentral describes it as "partial 18S ribosomal RNA". It matches the Rfam family "Eukaryotic small subunit ribosomal RNA", at positions 1470 to 1796 of the family's 1831-position model. The record is from RNAcentral.